Molecule: long non-coding RNA, 1005 nt
Filed under: Marmota monax (woodchuck)
Lineage: Eukaryota; Metazoa; Chordata; Mammalia; Rodentia; Sciuridae
Source: RNAcentral
AGGCAUCACAAUGCCUGAUCUGAAAUUAUACUAUACAGCUAUAGUAACAAAAGUAGCAUUGUAUUACCAUCAAAGUAAACAUAAAGACCAAUGGAAUAGAAUAGAAGACACAGUCAAAUGCACAUAACUGAUAUUUGACACAGGUGUCAAAAAUAUAUCUUGGAGAAAAGACAGCCUUUUUAACAAAUGGUGCUGAGAAAACUGGAUAGCCAUAUGUAGAAUGAUGAAAUAGACCCCUAUCUCACCCUGCACAAAACUCAAAUUGAAAUGGGUCAAUACCCAGAAGAAAACAGGGUCAAUACUCUAUCAUAAAUACACUGGCACCAACUUUCUUAACAAAAUCCUCAAAGUGCGAGAAAUAAAACCAAGAAUCAAAAAAAUAAAAUAAAAUAAAAUGCUUAGGCAUAGAAAAGGAAUGGUUAAGAGUAUGAAGAGAUAAUCUACAAAAUGGGAGAAUGGGAGAGAAUCUUGGCUAGUUACCCCUCUCAUAAGGAAUUAAUAUCCAUAACAUAAAAGGACUGAAAUAACACCAAAAAACCCCCACAAAUAACCCAAUCAAUAAAUGGGCAAAAGAACUAAACAGAAACUUUUCAAAAAAAGAAACACAAAUGGUCUCAACAAAUAAAUGAAAAAAUAUUCAAUAUCUCUGGGAGUCAGAGAAAUGCAAAUUAAAACUUCACUAAGAUUUAAUUUCACUCCAGUCAGAAUGGUAAUGAUCAAGAAUACAAGCAACAGUAAAUGCUGGCAAGGUUAUGGGGGGAAAGGUGCACUUGUACAUUGUUGGUGGGACUACAGACUAGCACAACCACUCUGGACAGCAGAAUGGAGUUUCCCGAAAAAAUUAGAGAUGAAACCACCACAUGGUCCAGUUAUCCCUCUCCUUGAUAUUUUCUCAAAAGAUUUAAAAUUGGUAUACUACUGUGAUAGUCACCUCAAUGUUUAUAGCAGCACAAUUCAGAAUAGCUAAAUUGAGGACUCAAUGAAUACAACCAUCAAUAGUUGAAC